UGGCGGCAGGCCUAACACAUGCAAGUCGAGCGGUAGAGAGAAGCUUGCUUCUCUUGAGAGCGGCGGACGGGUGAGUAAUGCCUAGGAAUCUGCCUGGUAGUGGGGGAUAACGCUCGGAAACGGACGCUAAUACCGCAUACGUCCUACGGGAGAAAGCAGGGGACCUUCGGGCCUUGCGCUAUCAGAUGAGCCUAGGUCGGAUUAGCUAGUUGGUGAGGUAAUGGCUCACCAAGGCGACGAUCCGUAACUGGUCUGAGAGGAUGAUCAGUCACACUGGAACUGAGACACGGUCCAGACUCCUACGGGAGGCAGCAGUGGGGAAUAUUGGACAAUGGGCGAAAGCCUGAUCCAGCCAUGCCGCGUGUGUGAAGAAGGUCUUCGGAUUGUAAAGCACUUUAGGUUGGGAGGAAGGGCAUUAACCUAAUACGUUGGUGUCUUGACGUUACCGACAGAAUAAGCACCGGCUAACUCUGUGCCAGCAGCCGCGGUAAUACAGAGGGUGCAAGCGUUAAUCGGAAUUACUGGGCGUAAAGCGCGCGUAGGUGGUUUGUUAAGUUGGAUGUGAAAUCCCCGGGCUCAACCUGGGAACUGCAUUCAAAACUGACAAGCUAGAGUAAGGUAGAGGGUGGUGGAAUUUCCUGUGUAGCGGUGAAAUGCGUAGAUAUAGGAAGGAACACCAGUGGCGAAGGCGACCACCUGGACUGAUACUGACA
Molecule: ribosomal RNA, 713 nt
Filed under: uncultured soil bacterium
Lineage: Bacteria
Description: bacterial SSU rRNA
Rfam family: Bacterial small subunit ribosomal RNA
Source: RNAcentral